Prionailurus viverrinus (fishing cat) is the source of this 244-nucleotide long non-coding RNA. RefSeq lists it as uncharacterized. NCBI's taxonomy places the organism in Eukaryota, Metazoa, Chordata, Mammalia, Carnivora, Felidae. The record is from RefSeq and is a predicted model, not a curated record. The transcript has 2 exons.
GUCGGCGCCCGCUGCGCGGAGCCGGGAAGUCGCCGCGACUCCGGUGAGACUCAGAGUUGUCUCCGGAGGUGACGGGCGCGGAGGUGAGCGGUGGGGAGCAAGCGGCGACGGCGAAAACGCGGAGGCUGCGCCGUGACCCCUUACCAUCUUUUGAAGGGAUAGUAGCGUAGGUCCAGGGUCCCACCGCCGCUUUGUUCGCAGCCUCUCCCUAAGGUCCUGAAGCGGAUCGAGCGCGAGGCGCCAA